GCGCCGGUGGUGUAAGGCGAACAUCGCUGCCCGGAAAGCAGAAGAUGCGGGUUCGAGUCCUGCCUGGCGCA
This is a non-coding RNA of Heligmosomoides polygyrus, 71 nucleotides long. Lineage: Eukaryota; Metazoa; Nematoda; Chromadorea; Rhabditida; Heligmosomidae. The record is from Rfam.